AAGCAAAAUUUGUAUAUGUUGUCUCUCCCACAUUUUCAAAUUUCUAGUUUCCAAAAAAAAAAAAAAAAAAACGAAUGAGCACCGGUCAACGUUAUAUGUUGUCCCCCACUUUGACGGUAUAUGUUCUUUCACACUGUCUUGAUUAAGGUGCAGUAGCAUAUGGUUGGAGUCCCCCAAGUCUUCGGUCGAGGGAGUUGACGAAUGAGGCAUUUCCUUUCUAAGUGGUAUCCCAAAACUCCUUCUUCAUAUAUAUUUGUUAUGAAAGUUGUUAGGCCCAAAGAAGAGGAGGCCUAGGCAAUUUUUAUUUUUUUCGAAAUUUUUUUUUUCAAAUUUUUGAAUUUUCAAAUUUUUGAAUUU
RNAcentral lists this long non-coding RNA (357 nucleotides) under Malus domestica (apple). RNAcentral's name for it is "long non-coding RNA (MDOM_LNC018546)". The record is from RNAcentral. Lineage: Eukaryota; Viridiplantae; Streptophyta; Magnoliopsida; Rosales; Rosaceae.